RNAcentral lists this ribosomal RNA (328 nucleotides) under uncultured Anaerolineaceae bacterium. RNAcentral describes it as "bacterial SSU rRNA". It matches the Rfam family "Bacterial small subunit ribosomal RNA", at positions 1041 to 1382 of the family's 1533-position model. The record is from RNAcentral. Lineage: Bacteria; Bacillati; Chloroflexota; Anaerolineae; Anaerolineales; Anaerolineaceae.
CUGCAUGGCUGUCGUCAGCUCGUGUCGUGAGAUGUUCGGUUAAGUCCGCUAACGAGCGCAACCCUCGCUGUGUGUUACAAGUGUCACACGGAACUGCCGGUCAUAAACCGGAGGAAGGUGGGAUGACGUCAAGUCAGCAUGGCCUUUAUAUCCUGGGCUACACACACGCUACAAUGGGAAGGGACAAUAGGUUGCGAAGCCGCGAGGCGGAGCCAAUCCAGCAAAACUUCCCUCAGUUCAGAUUGCAGGCUGCAACUCGCCUGCAUGAAGUUGGAGUUGCUAGUAAACGCAGGUCAGCCAUACUGCGUUGAAUACGUUCCCGGGGCUU